RNAcentral lists this unclassified non-coding RNA (253 nucleotides) under uncultured delta proteobacterium. RNAcentral describes it as "contains 16S-23S intergenic spacer region". It matches the Rfam family "Bacterial small subunit ribosomal RNA", at positions 524 to 776 of the family's 1533-position model. Lineage: Bacteria; Deltaproteobacteria. The record is from RNAcentral.
UACGGAGGGCGCAAGCGUUGUUCGGAAUCAUUGGGCGUAAAGCGCGUGUAGGCGGCUUGGCAAGUCGGAUGUGAAAGCCCGGGGCCCAACCCCGGAAUUGCAUUCGAUACUGCCUCGCUCGAGUCCCGGAGAGGAGAGCGGAAUUCCCGGUGUAGGGGUGAAAUCCGUAGAUAUCGGGAGGAACACCAGUGGCGAAGGCGGCUCUCUGGACGGUGACUGACGCUGAGACGCGAAAGCGUGGGGAGCAAACAGG